AACGAACGCUGGCGGCAGGCUUAACACAUGCAAGUCGAACGGUUGUAGCAAUACAGCAGUGGCAGACGGGUGAGUAACACGCGGGAACGUUCCUAGGGGUACGGAACAACUCAGGGAAACUUAAGCUAAUACCGUAUACGUCCGUGAGGAGAAAGAUUUAUCGCCCUUAGACGGGCCCGCGUCGGAUUAGCUAGUUGGUGGGGUAACGGCCUACCAAGGCGACGAUCCGUAGCUGAUCUUAGAGGAUGAUCAGCCACACUGGGACUGAGACACGGCCCAGACUCCUACGGGAGGCAGCAGUGGGGAAUCUUGGACAAUGGGCGCAAGCCUGAUCCAGCCAUGCCGCGUGAGUGAAGAAGGUCUUCGGAUUGUAAAGCUCUUUUGCCAGGGACGAUAAUGACGGUACCUGGAGAAUAAGCCCCGGCAAACUUCGUACCAGCAGCCGCAGUAA
This 451-nucleotide ribosomal RNA is filed under the name uncultured bacterium. RNAcentral's name for it is "partial 16S ribosomal RNA". It matches the Rfam family "Bacterial small subunit ribosomal RNA", at positions 29 to 523 of the family's 1533-position model. The record is from RNAcentral.